This is a non-coding RNA of Meleagris gallopavo (turkey), 957 nucleotides long. The record is from RefSeq and is a predicted model, not a curated record. NCBI's taxonomy places the organism in Eukaryota, Metazoa, Chordata, Aves, Galliformes, Phasianidae.
UUGUUGCUCUCCACUUUCCUGCUCAGAGACAACUGCCCAGCUUCUCCAAAGGCCAACACAGGACUGAGGGCAGCUCUGCAGCAUCCCACCCUGUGUCAGCAGCAACCCUAAUCCUGACCUGGGAUACCAUCUCACUGCAGCUCAGAGGGCCAGCAGUGGAGGCUCGAGAUGCACCUGAGAGGAGAGCCAAUGCACUGCAGCAGGAGCAGCCACCAGGACCUCACCGUGGACGGGAGGGAGGAAGGACAGAGGCAGCACAGUGCCUGGCACCCUCAGGGAUUGGGAUGCACCCAGGGUCGUGCCGUGCUCCUUCCCCCAGCAUUGACGUGGGAAUGGCCCCAGUGCAGCCGCCCACCGCCGCUCACUGUGAUCCAGGGUCCUGAGCUGACCUCGCUCUCCUGCACCCAUGCAGGGCAGGAAUGGCCGAAUUACUGCUCCCUGCUGCGCUCUGCACAUCCUCCUCCUGGCCGGGUGGCCUCAGGAUCUGUGGGGCUGGAUGGCUGCGUCCUCUCGGGUCAAACAGUAGCUCCAUUUUUUCCCUUGCGAAGCACCAAGAGCUUGCCCGGUUCCAAAGAAGUAGCUGUGGAUUUUUAUUUUAUUUUAUUUUUUUCCCUCCUUCGUUCUUCUUUCUGAAUCUUUUGGGGGUUUCGGGCUCUUAUUGAGAAUGCCGGGACCAGCACUGGGUGCAGCCCCAUGCAGAGGGGGUGAACGCCUCUGGAGAAGCAAUGGGAGCAGCACACCAAGAGCUGACAACUGCAGUGCCUUGGGUCUGAGACUGUCUGGGAGCUGUGUCCCUUCACAUUACAUGGCUGCAUCCUCCCCAACACAUCCCAUAGGGGUGAGGUGGGAUUCUGGGGGGGCACAGGGCCAAACCGCAGCGAAGGGGACGUCAAGAAGGGGAAAAAUGUCACCCUCAGAAACAAUUAAACUGCUUAAUAAAAUCCGUUGCCUCUCGGA